Molecule: ribosomal RNA, 430 nt
Filed under: Starmerella sp.
Lineage: Eukaryota; Fungi; Ascomycota; Dipodascomycetes; Dipodascales; Trichomonascaceae
Description: LSU rRNA
Rfam family: Eukaryotic large subunit ribosomal RNA
Source: RNAcentral
AACGGCGAGUGAACAGGCAAAAGCUCAGAUUUGAAAGCCUUUCGGGGCAUUGUAUUCUGAAGCCUUGAUCCUGGGAAACCGGUGCCUAAGUCUUCUGGAAAGGAGCGCCAAGGAGGGUGAAAGCCCCGUACGGUACUGACCCCAUUGUAGGAUCUUGGCAUGGAGUCGAGUUGUUUGGGAAUGCAGCUCAAAUGGGUGGUAUGCUCCAUCUAAAGCUAAAUAUCUGCGAGAGACCGAUAGCGAACAAGUACUGUGAAGGAAAGAUGAAAAGAACUUUGAAAAGAGAGUGAAAUAGUACGUGAAAUUGUUGAAAUGGAAGGGUAGGCCGCUAACGACGUAGAGUCGUGUCUGGGGGGAGGAUAAAAGCUGUAGAAUGUGGCUCCUCGGAGUGUUAUAGCUGCAGUGCAUACUCCCAUCCGGGCGCGAGGAC